GCAUCGGUGGUUCAGUGGUAGAAUGCUCGCCUGCCACGCGGGCGGCCCUGGUUCGAAUCCCGAUUCCCGGCCGAUGCA
Molecule: non-coding RNA, 78 nt
Organism: Cordylochernes scorpioides
Lineage: Eukaryota; Metazoa; Arthropoda; Arachnida; Pseudoscorpiones; Chernetidae
Source: the annotation of a GenBank genome assembly